CCCUGCCCACUGGGUGAAACUGCAAGUCGAGAGCGUGGGAAACCAGCAAGUUGAGAGAGGAUCCAGAAGUAACCCCUUCUAAAACGGGAAAGAUGCCUUCCGAAAGCACUUGGCCCUAAAGAGAAAACACUAGGAGGAUGGGAACCAGGGACAGAGAAGCUACUUGCUCUGCAGCUGUUUGGGCCAGUAUGUUCCCUAAUCUUGAUGGCCAUCCUGGGCUUAUUUUCCUGAGAGUCUCUAAGUGACUCACUGCAUCAUGUAAAACUAAGAAAAAGGAUGUCCUGAAUUUUCCUGCUUAGAGAGCUUGUUUUUCUUUCCUGUUGCAUCAAAG
Molecule: long non-coding RNA, 331 nt
Filed under: Pan troglodytes (chimpanzee)
Lineage: Eukaryota; Metazoa; Chordata; Mammalia; Primates; Hominidae
Description: long non-coding RNA NONPTRT018454
Source: RNAcentral